RNAcentral lists this transfer RNA (65 nucleotides) under Dipodomys ordii (Ord's kangaroo rat). It matches the Rfam family "tRNA". From Rfam's summary of the family: Transfer RNA (tRNA) molecules are approximately 80 nucleotides in length. Their secondary structure includes four short double-helical elements and three loops (D, anti-codon, and T loops). The record is from Rfam by way of RNAcentral. Lineage: Eukaryota; Metazoa; Chordata; Mammalia; Rodentia; Heteromyidae.
GGUGGCUCAGUGGUAGAGCACUUGCCUUGCAUGCAUGAGGCCUUGGCUUCGAUUCCUCAGCACCA